CUGCUGCCGCCGGCGCGCGGCUUCCCGGCGGCCGCCGACGGGGGCCGGCGCUACGGGCCCUGGUUCAAAAGCGCCUCCAAGGAGGCGGCGGAGCGGAGCAAGGCGGGAGCCUCCGGCGGCGCGCGGAGCCGGACGCCCCGGGGCCGCGCCGCCCGCGAGAAGGAGGAGGACAGAGGUGAGGCGCCGCCACCGCGGGAGCUGCUCCAUCCCUCCCUCCAUCCCUCCCUCCAUCCCUCCCUGCACGCUCAUUUUCCGCUUGCGUUUUUUCCAAUUCCGCUUAGGCGUUUUCGGGCUCUCGGUGGCGCCGCGCUCGGACGUGGACUUUCUGCGGCCGCGGCGCGGCACGGCACGGGGGUUUGGGGCCCGGCCGCCGAGCAGCUCYGUCCCCGGGGCCAAAUGCAGACCUGCUUCCGUGUCACGUCCCUGGCCGCGGGGCUGCGUGCGCCUGCCCACGGCCRCUUUGGAGCAAACCCCUAGCGAUAACGCCAGGCUGUUUCCCGUGCACUGCCGCAGCCAGCGAAAGCCUUCGUACCCCCCACGAAAGCCUUCGUGCCCCUCUGGCGGGACCUUUCCAGGUUCCUAACUCUGGUUUGCAAUACGCAGGUGUGCAGGCAGGCAAGGGCUGCCGACGCCGGCCGGGCAAGGGAGCGUGGGCAGCCGCGGCCGCCGCAGGGGCCGGGCGCGAUCGACCGUCCCCGGCCAGCUGCCACCUCCGGUGCACGGUGUACCGUCGCGUCAGAGCRUUAUUAAUGAACGAGGAUAAGCGAACGUGGUGCUUCGCAUCGAUUUUUGGAAAUGUCGUCCGUUCAUCCGGAAGGCAACUGCAUGCAGGCAAAGCUACUUGCUCACCGAGGUGCUUGAAGUUUGCAUGUCUGCAAGAGCUGCCUGCAGGGGCUCGCGCACCGCAGCCCGGCUUCUUCCCGAGGGCAGCCCGGAGCCCGGCAAAGCCCCAGGGACCUGCAGCCACGCGGGACGCCCUGGCGCAGGGCGCUCAGCCCCUGGCAUGGGCUCGCUCCGCAGGGACGAGAUUUUUGCAAAACAGGGACUUGCAGGGUGCCCGCAGGAUUAGUCGCCUGGCGAGCGCACGGUGGCNNNNNNNNNNNNNNNNNNNNNNNNNNNNNNNNNNNNNNNNNNNN
RNAcentral lists this long non-coding RNA (1136 nucleotides) under Apteryx haastii (Great spotted kiwi). Its description in RNAcentral is "lncRNA (ENSAHAG00000016664.1)". The record is from RNAcentral. Lineage: Eukaryota; Metazoa; Chordata; Aves; Apterygiformes; Apterygidae.